AUCAACAAUAAUAAUAUACUCAGUGUAUUCUCACGUAGCGGGAUCUAGGGAGGGUAAAGUAUACGCUGAUCAUACCAAUACCUAAAGUGAAGUAGAGAGACUAUUUUCGAUAGACCUCCGACUUAGGACCGAUAGCAAUAUAAUAAACACAAAAAAUAAGUGCAUAUAAACUAAUACGAUAUGCAAAAAUAAACUAACACUAUGGUACACAUUAACAUAGUUGCGUAAACACAUAUCGAAGUAACCAAAACCCUUAUCCUUGCAACUCUUAAAGCCGUAAUAAUGGUCGAUUUUCCGUCCUUCGAAAGGACAGAAAACGUAACAUUUACCGCAGCGACCGCGGUAAAAAAAGAAAGUAAAAAUAUAGGAAAGAAACAUAAACAUUUAAUGAAUAAUAAAGACUUAGCUUCUUUAUUUGUUUCUUCUAAUAAAUGUUCAGACUCAACAUGUAUAGAUGAAGAUAGUGAAAGUUCUUCAAGAUGUUGAACUCUAUUUUUCAAUGGAAAAGUGAUGAAGUAAAAUGAAAAUAUGAGAAAAGAAAGUGGAAAUGAAAGGAAAAGGAAAAGGAAAAAUGAUAUUUUUUUGGUGGAAAAUAUAAUUUUGAAGGAAUUAAAGAUAAUUUUAACAAGAAGAAAUGUGUUAUUUGGUUCUUGAAUAAUGUGUUUUUAUUUUUUGGAUUUUUGGAGGUUAUAAGAUUUGAAGUGAAUGGUGGAAGUGAA
Molecule: long non-coding RNA, 719 nt
Filed under: Capsicum annuum
Lineage: Eukaryota; Viridiplantae; Streptophyta; Magnoliopsida; Solanales; Solanaceae
Description: long non-coding RNA (CANN_LNC020203)
Source: RNAcentral